AUUGAACGCUGGCGGCAUGCCUAACACAUGCAAGUCGUGCGGAUGGAGGGAGCUUGCGCCUGGCUUCAGCGGCGGACGGGUGUGUAAUGCCUAGAAACCUGCCAGGUAGUGGGGGAUAACGUCCGGAAACGGGCGCUAAUACCGCAUACGUCCUGUGGGAGAAAGUGGGGGAUCUUCGGACCUCACGCUAUCAGAUGAGCCUAGGUCGGAUUAGCUAGUUGGUGGGGUAACGGCCUACCAAGGCGACGAUCCGUAACUGGUCUGAGAGGGUGAUCAGUCACAGUGGAACUGAGACACGGUCCAGACUCCUACAGGCGGCAGAGGUGGGGAAUAUUGGAAGAUGGGCGAAAGCCUGAUCCAGGCAUGCAGGGUGUGUGAAGAAGGUCUGCGUAUUGGAAAGCACUUUAAGUGGGGAGGAAGGGCAGUAAGAGAAAACCUUGCUGUUUUGACGGUACCAACAGAAGAAGCACCGGCUAACUUCGUG
This 484-nucleotide ribosomal RNA is filed under the name uncultured bacterium. RNAcentral's name for it is "partial 16S ribosomal RNA". It matches the Rfam family "Bacterial small subunit ribosomal RNA", at positions 30 to 507 of the family's 1533-position model. The record is from RNAcentral.